RNAcentral lists this ribosomal RNA (384 nucleotides) under uncultured bacterium. RNAcentral describes it as "bacterial SSU rRNA". It matches the Rfam family "Bacterial small subunit ribosomal RNA", at positions 30 to 416 of the family's 1533-position model. The record is from RNAcentral.
AUUGAACGCUGGCGGCAUGCCUUACACAUGCAAGUCGAACGGUAGCGGGCCUUCGGGUGCCGACGAGUGGCGAACGGGUGAGUAAUGCAUCGGAACGUGCCAUUGAGUGGGGGAUAACGUAGCGAAAGUUACGCUAAUACCGCAUAUUCUGUGAGCAGGAAAGCAGGGGACCGCAAGGCCUUGCGCUCUUUGAGCGGCCGAUGUCAGAUUAGCUAGUUGGUGAGGUAAAGGCUUACCAAGGCGACGAUCUGUAGCGGGUCUGAGAGGAUGAUCCGCCACACUGGAACUGAGACACGGUCCAGACUCCUACGGGAGGCAGCAGUGGGGAAUUUUGGACAAUGGGGGCAACCCUGAUCCAGCCAUGCCGCGUGAGUGAAGAAGGCC